This 194-nucleotide ribosomal RNA is filed under the name uncultured bacterium. RNAcentral describes it as "partial 16S ribosomal RNA". It matches the Rfam family "Bacterial small subunit ribosomal RNA", at positions 161 to 353 of the family's 1533-position model. The record is from RNAcentral.
UGCUAAUACCGCAUGACAUAUCAGAAUCACAUGAUUUUGAUAUCAAAGAUUUAUCGCUUGAAGAUGGACUCGCGUCCGAUUAGUUAGUUGGUGAGGUAACGGCUCACCAAGACCGCGAUCGGUAGCCGGACUGAGAGGGUGAACGGUCACAUUGGGACUGAGACACGGUCCAGACUCCUACGGGAGGCAGCAUG